UUCAUUUAAAUUGACAAUUUUGCUCAGUCUCAACACAAUUCAAUUCGAAAACUUUUUACUUUCACCGAAUUAUUAUUCCAAUUUUUGUUUGUUUUUUCGUAUGCAAUGGCAGACUCUGGUGGUCCUUCGUCAAAGACAGUUCAAGGCGAAGGUUCAGAGAAAGUUAAUAUGUACUAAAUUUUGUUGGUUGAGUAAAUUAAUUAAAUAUUUAAGUAGACUAAUAUAAGUUUUAUUUUGUUGGUAGACAAGAAAAAGAAGAGAUAUGCGAUAUGCGUUUGAUCAGUUCUUCUUCUAAGAGCCCCUACUGAAUCACUUAUGCAUUAGUAGGAUAUGAGAAGUCGGAUAUGGUGAAAAAGUUUAGGGGCGACGUCGAGGUAUUGGUGUGUGACAGAUGCAGAGUGAAUUGGGAGUCUUGGAGAGACGUCCCCAAGGAGAUAAAGACGGUCAUGAUCGAUUUGUUAGUUGUACGUGUAAAUUAUUAAUUAGUUAAAUAAUAAUUUUGUUCUUUAGAUAAAAUAUAAUAGUGAUAUGUAUAAUUUAUUUAUUUUUGCAUAUCAGCAUAAUUGGGAUAUUGACAAAAGUGACGCAAAUUUGAUGAAGUGCAUUGACGUUGUGUUCAAGUAUCAUUUCCGGGAGUUGAAGUUUGAUGUUGAACGUGAUGCAGAGCGACCCGGAGUGGCUAGACUAGCGGAUGAUUAGAGUAAUUUGUUUUAGUAGUCUAUUUAUGGUUUAUUAAAUAAUGACACUGAAUUAUUAUUAAUUUGGAAGAAUAAAUUUAUGGACUGUAUGUUUUUUAUUUCGUCUUGAGAACAAAUUUUCAAAAUACUAUAAUAUUGACAUUAGUAUUUUGAGAAACUGUUUUCGACACAGAAUAAAAUAAAUAUUUCUAAUCGUCGUGCAAGGAUUUAUGCGACAAAAUGUUUGUCACUAAAACCUUUGCGAGACGACAUUUCGUCAUGCAAAAACAUUGUAAAACGGUUGCUUAGCGUUUAAGUUGUUAUAUUUACUGCAUAUUUAUUGUUUAAUUACGCGACAAAAGUUUGCUCGCGCAGAAUGUUGAGGGACGAGAUUUCGUCGCGCAAAGCGAUGGUUGGUGGUGUUUAAGUCGUGUCAUUUAUUGCGUAUUUAUUGCACAUUUAUUUCAUACUUUGUGCGAAGAAAGGUUCGUCGUGCAAAGGUUGUAGUCCACAACACGCGACGAAUAGUUCGUCGCGUAAAAUGUUACGUGUUCUUUAUAAGUACAGAUUAUGUUGCGGUUUUCUUCACAUUCUUUUGAAGACCUGAUGGCAGAUAAUAAUUACAGUAGGAAAGCGAUGGUUCGGGCUUGAAUCGAGGAAAGAAACCGGCAGCAGAGCAUGCCCUCCGGGCUCCAUGAUAUGAUGAAAUAUGUGGAGUUUGCGCAUGCGAUUGGUUUAGCAAUGCAGAACAAUUGUCUUAUUACUAAGCGCGCUCUUGGAAAUUUGUGUCCAAGGACGUGAAGAAGGUGGUGAUGGAUCAAUUAUUAGUAAGUGUGGCAAAUGUUGAAAACAAUUAAUUUUGUGAAAUUGUUUGUUAUAUGUUGUAAUUAAUUAUUUGCAUAUUGUAACAGUGUAACUAUACUUAUGAUGAUACGAACGAAGACUUGAUGAAGUUGAUGGAGAAGGCGUUGAAGAGGUGUUACAAGUAGUGGUGUUAUGAUGUUGAGCCGAAUGGAGAACCAACAGAGCAGUAGUUUUAAAUUUAUGUUUUUUAGGACAAUAUAUUAUUUUAAGGUUUUAUUCUAAGUUAUGUAUUUGGACUUAAUUAGGCUUUGAUUAUGUUUUGUUGUUUAAAUAAUUAAAUGGGUUAAUUUAGUUUAUUUAAGUUUUCAAUUAUUUUUAAAAUAAAUAUUAUAAUUGAAUAUUUAUUUGUAAUUAUGAAGUUUACGUAAAUAUAGAUACUAAAGAUCUAUGUUUACAUA
This 1939-nucleotide long non-coding RNA is filed under the name Malus domestica (apple). RNAcentral's name for it is "long non-coding RNA (MDOM_LNC002799)". Lineage: Eukaryota; Viridiplantae; Streptophyta; Magnoliopsida; Rosales; Rosaceae. The record is from RNAcentral.